UACGGAGGAUGCGAGCGUUAUCCGGAUUUAUUGGGCUUAAAGGGUGCGUAGGCGGCCUGCCAAGUCAGCGGUAAAAUUGCGGGGCUCAACCCCGUACAGCCGUUGAAACUGCCGGGCUCGAGUGGGCGAGAAGUAUGCGGAAUGCGUGGUGUAGCGGUGAAAUGCAUAGAUAUCACGCAGAACCCCGAUUGCGAAGGCAGCAUACCGGCGCCCGACUGACGCUGAGGCACGAAAGUGCGGGGAUCAAACAGG
This 252-nucleotide ribosomal RNA is filed under the name uncultured bacterium. RNAcentral's name for it is "partial 16S ribosomal RNA". It matches the Rfam family "Bacterial small subunit ribosomal RNA", at positions 524 to 776 of the family's 1533-position model. The record is from RNAcentral.